Molecule: ribosomal RNA, 2110 nt
Filed under: Triticum aestivum (bread wheat)
Lineage: Eukaryota; Viridiplantae; Streptophyta; Magnoliopsida; Poales; Poaceae
Description: partial small subunit ribosomal RNA
Source: RNAcentral
CUAGCAACCUGGUAACGCUUCCAUUUAGGAAUUAAGAGAGCACACAGGAGAGCAAACUCAUCUCGCCCCAUGGCUCAGCCUCCAGGUAAACUGAUGGACACGAUCAGAAGGCCGGUCGCAGCAGCUUCAUCUCUUCAUCAUUCAGCGGCGAAGCAUCUGGCCACCUUGGCCCAGAGGAACGGAGUUAACAGGAGGUUCCUCCUCACUCUGCUGGCAUCCGCCGCAGCCAUACCUGAGGCCGGUGAAUCAAGAAAGGCCCUAUUGCAAGAUUAUGUGAAGAGAUCAAAGGAAAACAAAGAAAAGAAUGACAAGGAGAGGCGGGACGCCGUUUACAAAAGGAAUUACAAGGACUAUUUCGGUUUCAUGGAAGGCCCGGUCAGAGAGAAGCCAGCGGAAGAUCUCACGGAGUCGGAGAAAGGGAUUCUCGCGUGGCUGGACAAGAACAAGUAGCUAGUGUUGAACAUGGGAGGAGCACGCCAACCAAAUAGCUGAUACAGCUUUCUCUGUAGGAAAAUUCCUUCCGCGGUGAAGUUCUCAAUGAGUUAAUAAGCUUAGCAUAUAGCACCUCACUUGCCUCUUAAACCUGGUGCAACUUGUUCUGUUUCAUCAUUGUCAUCUCAUCUGUGCAGUAGCACAAAUCUUUGCUUGAUCUGACAGUAUGUUACAUUUUUGUAAAAUCAGAAAAAAAACAUAAAAUGGAUACCAUUUAUAUAUACAUUUGUACUAUUAUUUUGUACAGUUACCUGACAGUGGACAAGAGAACUUUUCUCUUGCUCUGUACAUUUUCUUUUUUAAUCAGAAUGUAUUACUAGAAAUUUGUUGCGGAAAUGUCGAGAUAAAGGCAAGAGAAGUAAUUCAAAUAUGUGGUCUAAGAAAAAUAAAAAUAAAAUGCAGAUACCAGAAAGGCAAAAAAUGUUAAAUGGAAGAAGGUAUAAAUAUCAAACAGGCUGAGGUGUGACUUGUCCAAAACCCAAGCAGGACUGCAUAUUGUCUUUUUUUUGGAAACAGAGGACUGCAUAUUGUCAGAUUUGCCCCUGUGUGUUUCCAUCCAGAGAAAAACCUGUGGCCUUGGUCCAUUCCAGGAUUUCAUCAUAUCAUAUCAAGUAGCAGCAACCUGGCGACGCUUCCAUGUAGGAAAUCAAGAGAGCAAACUCAUCUCAUCCCAUGGCUCAGCCUCCAGGUAAGCUGAUGGACACAAUCAGAAGGCCGGUCACAGCAGCUUCAUCUCUUGGCCAAUCAGCGGCAAAUCAUCUCCAGCCACUGGUCACAUUGGCUCAGAGGAAUGGAGUUAACAGGAGGUGCCUCCUCACUCUGCUGGCAUCCGCCGCAGCCAUACCCGAGGCCAGUGAAUCAAGAAAGGCGCUAUUGCAAGAUUAUGUGAAGAGGUCAAAGGAAAACAAAGAGAAGAAUGACAAGGAGAGGCUGGACGACUUUUACAAGAGGAAUUACAAGGAUUAUUUCGGUUUCAUGGAAGGCUCGGUUAGAGAGAAGCCAGCGGAGGAGCUCACGGAGUCGGAGAAAGGAAUUCUUGCGUGGCUUGACAAGAACAAGUAGCCAGCUGCAUGAGAGGAGAACCACGCCAACCACCAAAUAGCUGAAACACCUUUUGUAUAGGAAAACUCCUUCCACGGUGAAGUUCAGCUUAUCAUGCGUGUAGUAGCACAAAUCUUUGCUUGAUCUCAUAUUAUGUUUCAUUUUUUGCAAAAUCAGAGAUUUUUGAAAGUUUUAGAAUUCAGGACAGGGAAAAUAAAAAAUUAUCCCAUCCCAAAUUCCCAAUCCACAUACAUUGUUGUCGUGCCCUCGGAAAAAUAUGGCUCCUUCUCCUCGGACGGGACGGCAGGGUCAGGUAUGAUAUUAAGAAGGAAUGACGGGAGCGUAAUCUUUGCUGCAUACCGUCAUUUACUCGUUUGUAAUGAUGCUCUUGAAGCCGAGCUCCAUGCAAUCAGUGGUGAUUCAAUCGGAUUUCUCAACAGCCUAUCGUCGUUAUCUGAGGCCCUGGAUCGGUUAGCUUAUGGUCAUCUUAUUUUAGAGAUCGGAGUCUUAUGGUCAGUACGGAGUUUGUUCCUAUGAAAAUUUCUAGGGACCAGAACAGAGUGGCAGUGUCUAUAGC